GGUAGGUGGAGGCGCAGCGCGUAUACAAUGGCCGCUGGAAGGAGGCUAAAGCAAACAAUUUUUAGGCCUGCGGUGAAACAAAAAUAUGAGAAAAAAAUUUUUAAAAAAUCGAAUAAUUGUUUAAAGCCGGAAAAAAAUGCGGAAAAGUGAUGUUGAAAGUCCCGUGAUGCUGCCAGACCUGCUAAGAUCCUGUAUCCACCCCAUCCACACCCCUUUUGCCAAAUUAAUUUGCAAGAAAUUUAUCAAUCACAUCUAAGUAACAAAAUUGUCAACCUAAUUGUCAGAAGUAGUGAGUUGAACAAUUUACCACAGUACUGACUCUUUCUCGAGGAUGCCCAAAUACUUAGUAAUGAAUUUCCUGUUGACUAUGGUUUUGUUUUUAAGUAACUUCUCAAGUAAAGGUGCUUGCCUGCAUCUGUUUGGCUUUCUGCUGAGCAUUCACGUUUACCUGAAACCAGUUAUUCAUGCCAACAUGAUGAGUCUUUCCACUUCCACAACUCGUACUGGGUAAAAACAUUGAAGACACCACUGAUGCUGCUGUGUACAGCACCGACCCAGACACUCCGUCACUGCCAUUGUCAUGAGACCACAUAAGGCACAUCUCACCGAUUACAGCCACUGCUGAUGCCGCUGGGUCUUAUACUGGGCCCAAAUUUACCUCUGUGAAUCUGUGCCAGACGCAAACGUCGCUGAAAACCCAAACAUGCCUCCACAACCGCAGCAGCCAUGAGUCAAUGUUAGGACCACCUCGACAAUGCGGAAGCCGCUGAGAACUCAAACUCUUCUCCACUGCUACCAUGAGUCUGCCGUGCUGGGCCUACUCGAGUCCAUGACACAGCUCUUCACCAAGAGAUCAUCAAAAAUGGCAUACUUUUGGUCACCACCAGGAGGAAUUAGCAGGGCUGGUUGAGACCAGUGUGCAUGAUUUGCAACAGGAGAGUGGAGUACAGAAAAGGUAACUAUCCUUUUUAUGUGCUAGAACUAUGCCAACAUGGUCUGUACGUGCUACAGGUAAUUUCAUAACACAAAUCUGAAUGCAUGUCAGGUUGGAGACAGGUCUUUUUUUCCAAAAUUAAUUUUAAGCUGUAAGAAGUGGGGAGGUACUAAGAUGCAAGUUGUACAUGCUUCAGUGAAAAAUAAUGUGAGCAGUAUUUAUAAGGUUAGUUUGAGAAGUGUUAUGUAAAAAGGCAUGAUAUAAUCAAGUGUAAAAAUGCUUAGAUGAAUACUAACUUCCAUGAGAGCUGGUAGGAACUGCAGAUGCUGGAGAAUCCGAGACAACAAGGUGCAGGGCUGGAUGAACACAGCAGGCCAAGCAGCAUCAU
Rhincodon typus (whale shark) is the source of this 1322-nucleotide long non-coding RNA. RefSeq lists it as uncharacterized. The transcript is spliced from 4 exons. NCBI's taxonomy places the organism in Eukaryota, Metazoa, Chordata, Chondrichthyes, Orectolobiformes, Rhincodontidae. The record is from RefSeq and is a predicted model, not a curated record.